UGGGGAAUCUUCGACAAUGGGGGAAACCCUGAUCUAGCGAUGCCGCGUGAGUGACGAAGGCCCUAGGGUCGUAAAGCUCUUUCAACUGUGAAGAUAAUGACGGUAGCAGUAGAAGAAACCCCGGCUAACUCCGUGCCAGCAGCCGCGGUAAUACGGAGGGGGUUAGCGUUGUUCGGAAUUACUGGGCGUAAAGCGCGCGUAGGCGGACUAUUAAGUCGAGGGUGAAAUCCCGGGGCUCAACCCCGGAACUGCCUUCGAUACUGGUAGUCUAGAGUUCGAGAGAGGUGAGUGGAAUUCCGAGUGUAGAGGUGAAAUUCGUAGAUAUUCGGAGGAACACCAGUGGCGAAGGCGGCUCACUGGCUCGAUACUGACGCUGAGGUGCGAAAGUGUGGGGAGCAAACAGGAUUAGAUACCCCCGUAGUCC
RNAcentral lists this ribosomal RNA (424 nucleotides) under uncultured prokaryote. Its description in RNAcentral is "bacterial SSU rRNA". It matches the Rfam family "Bacterial small subunit ribosomal RNA", at positions 355 to 796 of the family's 1533-position model. The record is from RNAcentral.